GAUGAACGCUGGCGGCGUGCCUAAUACAUGCAAGUCGAGCGAACAGACGAGGAGCUUGCUCCUCUGACGUGUGCGGCGGACGUGUGUGUAACACGUGUAUAACCUACCUAUCAGACUGGGAUCACUUCGGGAAACCGGCGCUUAUACCGGAGAAUAUAUUGCACCGCGUGGGUCGAUAGUGAAAGACGGUUGUGGUGUCUGGUAUAGCGGCAUCCGGGCUGGAUUGGCUAGUUGGUAAGGUAACGGCUUACCACGGCGACGAGGCGUAACCGAGGUGAGAGGGUGAUAGGCCGCACUGGAGCUGAACCACGGUCCAGACUCCUACGGGAGGCAGCAGUAGGGAAUCUUCCGCAAUGGGCGAAAGCAUGACGGAGCAACGCCGCGUGAGUGAUGAAGGUCUUCGGAUCGUAAAACUCUGUUAUGAGGGAAGAACAGAUGUGUAAGUAGCUAUGCACGUCUUGACGGUACCUAGUCAGAAAGCCACGGCUAACUACGUG
Molecule: ribosomal RNA, 497 nt
Filed under: uncultured bacterium
Lineage: Bacteria
Description: partial 16S ribosomal RNA
Rfam family: Bacterial small subunit ribosomal RNA
Source: RNAcentral